GACGAACGCUGGCGGCGUGCUUAACACAUGCAAGUCGAACGGAAAGGCCCGGCUUUUGUGGGGCGCUCGAGUGGCGAACGGGGGAGUAACACGUGUGUAACCCGCCCUUGUCUGUGGGAGAACUUCAGGAAACUGGGGCGAAAAUCGGAGAGGAGCUCCUGCUGCAUGGUGGGGGUUGGGAAGUGUCGGCGGUGGGGGAUGGACUCGCGGCUUAUCAGCUUGUUGGGGGGGUAGUGGCUUACCAAGGCUUUGACGGGUAGCCGGCCUGAGAGGGUGACCGGCCACAUUGGGACUGAGAUACGGCCCAGACUCCUACGGGAGGCAGCAGUGGGGAAUAUUGCACAAUGGGCGGAAGCCUGAUGCAGCAACGCCGCGUGCGGGAUGCCGGCCUUCGGGUUGUAAACCGCUUUCGCCUGUGCCGAAGAGUGAGUGACGGUACUGAGUAAAGAAGCACCGGCUAACUACGUG
This 468-nucleotide ribosomal RNA is filed under the name uncultured bacterium. RNAcentral's name for it is "partial 16S ribosomal RNA". It matches the Rfam family "Bacterial small subunit ribosomal RNA", at positions 28 to 507 of the family's 1533-position model. The record is from RNAcentral.